RNAcentral lists this ribosomal RNA (429 nucleotides) under uncultured bacterium. RNAcentral describes it as "bacterial SSU rRNA". It matches the Rfam family "Bacterial small subunit ribosomal RNA", at positions 355 to 776 of the family's 1533-position model. The record is from RNAcentral.
UGGGGAAUCUUGGACAAUGGGGGCAACCCUGAUCCAGCGAUGCCGCGUGGGUGAAGAAGGCCUUCGGGUUGUAAAGCCCUUUAGGUUGGGACGAAGUGUAGUGAGGGAUAAUCUCAUUGCAUUGACGGUACCGACAGAAUAAGCACCGGCAAACUCUGUGCCAGCAGCCGCGGUAAUACAGAGGGUGCGAGCGUUAAUCGGAAUUACUGGGCGUAAAGGGCGCGUAGGCGGUUUAGUGGGUGUGAUGUGAAAGCCCUGGGCUUAACCUAGGAAGCGCAUCGCAAACUACUGAACUGGAGUAGAUGAGAGGGUGGCGGAAUUUCCGGUGUAGCGGUGAAAUGCGUAGAGAUCGGAAGGAACGUCAAUGGCGAAGGCAGCCACCUGGCAUCAUACUGACGCUGAGGCGCGAAAGCGUGGGGAGCGAACAGG